RNAcentral lists this ribosomal RNA (220 nucleotides) under uncultured bacterium. Its description in RNAcentral is "partial 16S ribosomal RNA". It matches the Rfam family "Bacterial small subunit ribosomal RNA", at positions 57 to 305 of the family's 1533-position model. The record is from RNAcentral.
GCAAGUCGAACACUCUCUUCGGAGAGAGUGGCAGACGGGUGAGUAACGCGUGGGAAUCUACCCAGUACUAAGGAACAACAGUUAGAAAUGACUGCUAAUACCUUAUACGCCCUCAGGGGGAAAGAUUUAUCGGUAUUGGAUGAGCCCGCGUUUGAUUAGCUAGUUGGUGAGGUAAUGGCUCACUAAGGCGACGAUCAAUAGCUGGUCUGAGAGGAUGAUC